CUUCAUGGCACAUGAGUCUAACCUCUCAGUGAAGUAUUUAUUAUGAUUAAUUGUUAUUGUGCAAUUUUAGUGUUCAGUGGUGUUCAGUAAAAUUUUGAGAAAAAAAUGAAUAAACCUGUAAAUUUGAGGAAUCAAUUGAUCCUUUCAGGAGAACCUGCUGAAACAAUCAAUGGUAAUAAAUUACCACCGAACAAACAAGUGUUAAAAUUGUUGUUUCAUCAAACAAGAGAAAAAAAUAAAACACUUUCAGCAAGUUAUCAGUUUGUUGCAAAAGAAGUUAUCAAAAUCUGGAAUAACGCCGUAAUUCAAGUUCAAGCGACAUCAAGAGGUGUGAAAAAAGUAGAAAAACUGUAUAAUAAUUAUAGAAGUGUACAGAAAAAUCCAAAUCCAAAGACAGAAGGAGAAUUUUCUUCGUAUCUAGAAAAAAUUAUUUGACAUUGCACACGGAAAUAUUCUAGAGAUAGCUGAUACUGAAGCGUUAGAAUUUUUAUCAGAUCAAAGGACAGACAGAAAAUAUCAUUUACGUAUUUGCCAAGAGAAUGACAAUGAAUGUCAGUCAUUAGAAAAUCUGACUCAAAUGGAAGAUAAAAUUGUAUCUGAAAAUGACGAUCAUACUGAUUUGAUAACCAACGAUGAACAUCGUUCGGUUUCAGAUUUGACUUUACCUUCAAGCUCUAAAACUACUAGUAAUGAGCCUUUAAGUGGAGAGCAAACAUUAAGCGAUGAGACAACUACAUCUACAUCUCACCAAAGCUCACACUCAAUGUUUGAGGUUGGAGGUCGAGAUUACGAUCCUAAAAAUGUGACAGGAACUAUUAAUAUUUUGACUGAAGACGUAAUUGCUGCCUUAGAUAGCUGCAACAUCUCUUACAGGAAUUCUGUUCGGUUAAUAUCAGCUAUAUCAACAGCCCUAGGAGUUAACACGAAUACUUUAAUUUUGAAUGGGAAUAUACUCAAAAACAAGGCUUAACUUGCAUCGUAUCUGUCCCAGGUGACGCCCAAGAUCUAUCCCAAUUUUGGGUAAUGGAAGAAAUCCCAGGAGGAAAAUCCGGAGGUACGUUGUCCAGCCACCACUCAUCAAGCGCCCACCGCAACUUGGAGAAUCAAGGGAUAGAGCCAUAGCAAGGUUCAUUCAACAAGAAGCCAAACUAUAAAAAGCAUCCAGCCCUGAAAAAAGAAUAUAGCAAGGUGAUCCAAGAAUACAUUGACCUUGGCCAUAUGAGAGCUGUCAGUUGCAUGGAGAGCAAAUAAGCUAGCUACUAUAUUCCACAUCACGUCGUUAUCAAGGGUGAAAGCAUGAUAACAAAAACACGGGUUGUAUUCGAUGCAUCACGCAAAACGACAUCAAAGAAGUCGCAAACCAAAACUACCAGUUUACUGGUACGCUGAUGUCUACAUGAAGUGGAUUUUACGGCGGACAUCGAGAAAAUGAAACGACAAAUUCGCAUGGAUGAAGAAAAUCAGCAGUAUCAAAUAAUUGUAUGGCGAUUCCAUCCAAAAGAGCAAUUUCAAGACUAUUAAUUAAAAACAGUAACGUUUGGGACAAAAGCCGCUCCAUUUUUGGCAAUCUGUACGUUACAUCAAUUAGUCAUAAACUAAGCAAAGAGCCCAGAAGUCUCAAAAACCUUGAUGAGAGACGAAUGAGUGGAUGAUAUCAUUUCGGGUGCAAAAAUUGUCAAAACCGCAUUGAAUCUACAAAAUGAGUUGAUUGAGACGUUGAAAUACGAGAGAGAGAUUUUGCUUUUAAGGAAUCAUAAACCAGAAAGGAAUCAUCACAAAGCGGAUAGUCUUAUCAGAUAUCUCCAAGAUAUACGAUCCACUCGGAUGGUUAGCGCCGAUAAUCAUCAAAACAAAAAUAUUCAUUCAACAUUUGUGGAGGAUCCAGGUCGAAUGGAAUGAAGUCUUGACAAUACAAGAUACAAAUGAUUGGAUUUUUAAAGCACAGUUGCCAGCUAUCGAGACAGUAAGAAUACCGAGAUGGAUAUCAUAUUUAAUGACGCCUCAAAAAAAUAACUGUAUGCGAAAGUUCAAAGGUAUAAAACAAGAUUACUCUUCAUCGUCUGAUUUUUUCACUGAAAUUAAUAAUCUGAAUAUUUCACCACAAGGAAAUGAAACGAACAUUUAGACGUUGUAGGAUAUAAUCGCAAGUAAGUGAGCAAUUAGAGAAUAAUGAACAAGACAAAAUCACGUUUGAAAA
This is a long non-coding RNA of Dalotia coriaria, 2197 nucleotides long. RefSeq lists it as uncharacterized. NCBI's taxonomy places the organism in Eukaryota, Metazoa, Arthropoda, Insecta, Coleoptera, Staphylinidae. The record is from RefSeq and is a predicted model, not a curated record. The transcript is spliced from 3 exons.